Podarcis lilfordi (Lilford's wall lizard) is the source of this 69-nucleotide non-coding RNA. The record is from the annotation of a GenBank genome assembly. NCBI's taxonomy places the organism in Eukaryota, Metazoa, Chordata, Lepidosauria, Squamata, Lacertidae.
GAUAGCUUAGUUGGUUAGAGCAUGGUGCUGAUAACACCAGGGUUGCAGGUUAGAUCCCCAUAUGGGACA